Long non-coding RNA from Anoplophora glabripennis (Asian longhorned beetle), 433 nucleotides. RefSeq lists it as uncharacterized. NCBI's taxonomy places the organism in Eukaryota, Metazoa, Arthropoda, Insecta, Coleoptera, Cerambycidae. The transcript is spliced from 2 exons. The record is from RefSeq and is a predicted model, not a curated record.
UGGUGCUAUAGUCAAAAUAUAUUUCCAGUUAUAAAAUUACUAUUUUCAGUAUUUUCUAAAAUCACUGAAACAAUUACUUAGGUGAAAGACCUUAUUCUUGCAAUGAAUGUCAACAUCACUUCACUAAUUGGCCAAAUUACAAUAAACACAUGAAACGCAGACAUGGUAUCAAUACCAGUGUAACUUGUAGGACUAAACAAGACAUACCUCCUACAGGUAUGCCACAUCGUAAUCCACCAGGAACCGUUUUAGCUCCACCACAACCAGUCGUUAUUCCAGAAAAUUUUGUUGAACCUCCACCAACAUUCUACCCAGUAUUAAGUUUAUAUAAUAUUCCUGAGGAACUUUUACAACAAAGAGUCUGAUUUUUAUUAAAACCAGUAGCUAAUAGGCUAAAUUAAUUUCACAAUAUGUAAUAAAGGUAUAAAAUAUA